Molecule: ribosomal RNA, 510 nt
Filed under: uncultured bacterium
Lineage: Bacteria
Description: partial 16S ribosomal RNA
Rfam family: Bacterial small subunit ribosomal RNA
Source: RNAcentral
GACGAACGCUGGCGGCGUGCUUAGCACAUACAAGUCGAACGAAGAGCGACGGAAGCUUGCUUCUAUCAAUCUUAGUGGCGAACGGGUGAGUAACGCGUAAUCAACCUGCCCUUCAGAGGGGGACAACAGUUGGAAACGACUGCUAAUACCGCAUACGAUCUAAUCUCGGCAUCGAGGAUGGAUGAAAGGUGGCCUCUACAUGUAAGCUAUCACUGAAGGAGGGGAUUGCGUCUGAUUAGCUAGUUGGAGGGGUAACGGCCCACCAAGGCGAUGAUCAGUAGCCGGUCUGAGAGGAUGAACGGCCACAUUGGGACUGAGACACGGCCCAGACUCCUACGGGAGGCAGCAGUGGGGAAUCUUCCGCAAUGGACGAAAGUCUGACGGAGCAACGCCGCGUGAGUGAUGACGGCCUUCGGGUUGUAAAGCUCUGUUAAUCGGGACGAAAGGCCUUCUUGCGAAUAGUGAGAAGGAUUGACGGUACCGGAAUAGAAAGCCACGGCUAACUACGUG